GGUAGCGUGGCCGAGUGGUCUUAGGCUCUGGUUUUAGGCACCAGUCAUUUCGAUGGCGUGGGUUCGAAUCCCACCGCUGCCA
RNAcentral lists this transfer RNA (82 nucleotides) under Saccoglossus kowalevskii. RNAcentral describes it as "tRNA-Leu". It matches the Rfam family "tRNA". From Rfam's summary of the family: Transfer RNA (tRNA) molecules are approximately 80 nucleotides in length. Their secondary structure includes four short double-helical elements and three loops (D, anti-codon, and T loops). The record is from RNAcentral. Lineage: Eukaryota; Metazoa; Hemichordata; Enteropneusta; Harrimaniidae.